This 520-nucleotide ribosomal RNA is filed under the name uncultured Glomus. Its description in RNAcentral is "SSU rRNA". It matches the Rfam family "Eukaryotic small subunit ribosomal RNA", at positions 569 to 1089 of the family's 1831-position model. Lineage: Eukaryota; Fungi; Glomeromycota; Glomeromycetes; Glomerales; Glomeraceae. The record is from RNAcentral.
AGCAGCCGCGGUAAUUCCAGCUCCAAUAGCGUAUAUUAAAGUUGUUGCAGUUAAAAAGCUCGUAGUUGAAUUUCGGGGUUAGUAGGUUGGUCAUGCCUCUGGUAUGCACUGGUCUUACUGAUUCCUCCUUCCUGAUGAGCCGUAAUGCCAUUAAUUUGGUGUUGCGGGGAAUUUGGACUGUUACUUUGAAAAAAUUAGAGUGUUUAAAGCAAGCUAACGCUUGAAUACAUUAGCAUGGAAUAAUGAAAUAGGACGUUCGAUCCUAUUUUGUUGGUUUCUAGGAUUGACGUAAUGAUUAAUAGGGAUAGUUGGGGGCAUUAGUAUUCAAUUGUCAGAGGUGAAAUUCUUGGAUUUAUUGAAGACUAACUACUGCGAAAGCAUUUGCCAAGGAUGUUUUCAUUAAUCAAGAACGAAAGUUAGGGGAUCGAAGACGAUCAGAUACCGUCGUAGUCUUAACCAUAAACUAUGCCGACUAGGGAUCGGAUGAUGUUAAUUUUUAAUUGUACUCAUUCGGCGUCCG